CCUACGGGGGGCUGCAGUCGAGGAUCUUCGGCAAUGGACGCAAGUCUGACCGAGCGACGUCGCGUGCGGGAUAAGGCCUUCGGGUUGUAAACCGCUGUCAGAGGGGAGGAAAUCGCCGGGGGCUAUCCCCCGGUGUUGACCGAGCCUCAGAGGAAGCACGGGCUAAGUUCGUGCCAGCAGCCGCGGUAAUACGAACUGUGCGAACGUUAUUCGGAAUCACUGGGCUUAAAGGGUGCGUAGGCGGCCGCUUAAGUAGGGUGUGAAAUGUCCCGGCUCAACCGGGGAAUGGCGCUCUAAACUGGGUGGCUCGAGUGAGAUAGAGGUGUGCGGAACUUCCGGUGGAGCGGUGAAAUGUGUUGAUAUCGGAGGGAACACCAUUGGCGAAAGCGGCACACUGGGUCUUAACUGACGCUGAGGCACGAAAGCCAGGGGAGCAAACGGGAUUAGAUACCCUAGUAGUC
Molecule: ribosomal RNA, 461 nt
Filed under: uncultured Planctomyces sp.
Lineage: Bacteria; Pseudomonadati; Planctomycetota; Planctomycetia; Planctomycetales; Planctomycetaceae
Description: bacterial SSU rRNA
Rfam family: Bacterial small subunit ribosomal RNA
Source: RNAcentral